Molecule: ribosomal RNA, 497 nt
Filed under: uncultured bacterium
Lineage: Bacteria
Description: partial 16S ribosomal RNA
Rfam family: Bacterial small subunit ribosomal RNA
Source: RNAcentral
GAUGAACGCUGGCGGCGUGCCUAAUACAUGCAAGUCGAGCGAACAGACGAGGAGCUUGCUCCUCUGACGUUAGCGGCGGACGGGUGAGUAACACGUGGAUAACCUACCUAUAAGACUGGGAUAACUUCGGGAAACCGGAGCUAAUCCCGGAUAAUAUAUUGAACCGCAUGGUUCAAUAGUGAAAGACGGCUUUGCUGUCACUUAUAGAUGGAUCCGCGCCGCAUUAGCUAGUUGGUAAGGUAACGGCUUACCAAGGCAACGAUGCGUAGCCGACGUGAGAGAGUGAUCGGCCACACUGGAACUGAGACACGGUCCAGACUCCUACGGGAGGCAGCAGUAGGGAAUCUUCCGCAAUGGGCGAGAGCCUGACGGAGCAACGCCGCGUGAGUGAUGAAGGUCUUCGGAUCGUAAAACUCUGUUAUUAGGGAAGAACAAAUGUGUAAGUAACUGUGCACGUCUUGACGGUACCUAAUCAGAAAGCCACGGCUAACUACGUG